Molecule: ribosomal RNA, 499 nt
Filed under: uncultured bacterium
Lineage: Bacteria
Description: partial 16S ribosomal RNA
Rfam family: Bacterial small subunit ribosomal RNA
Source: RNAcentral
GUUGAACGCUGCGGCAUGCCUUACACAUGCAAGUCGAACGGCAGCACGGGAGCAAUCCUGGUGGCGAGUGGCGAACGGGUGAGUAAUAUAUCGGAACGUGCCCAGUCGUGGGGGAUAACGCAGCGAAAGCUGUGCUAAUACCGCAUACGAUCUAAGGAUGAAAGCGGGGGAUCGCAAGACCUCGCGCGAUUGGGGCGGCCGAUAUCAGAUUAGGUAGUUGGUGGGGUAAAGGCCCACCAAGGCGACGAUCUGUAGCUGGUCUGAGAGGACGACCAGCCACACUGGAACUGAGACACGGUCCAGACUCCUACGGGAGGCAGCAGUGGGGAAUUUUGGACAACGGGCGCAAGCCUGAUCCAGCAAUGCCGCGUGCAGGAUGAAGGCCUUCGGGUUGUAAACUGCUUUUGUACGGAACGAAACGGCCCUUUCUAAUACAGGGGGCUAAUGACGGUACCGUAAGAAUAAGCACCGGCUAACUACGUGCCAGCCGCCGCAGUAA